CGAACGAUGAUGCCCAGCUUGCUGGGUGGAUUAGUGGCGAACGGGUGAGUAACACGUGAGUAACCUGCCCUUGACUCUGGGAUAAGCCUGGGAAACUGGGUCUAAUACCGGAUAUGACCUUCCAUCGCAUGGUGGUUGGUGGAAAGCUUUUGUGGUUUUGGAUGGACUCGCGGCCUAUCAGCUUGUUGGUGAGGUAAUGGCUUACCAAGGCGACGACGGGUAGCCGGCCUGAGAGGGUGACCGGCCACACUGGGACUGAGACACGGCCCAGACUCCUACGGGAGGCAGCAGUGGGGAAUAUUGCACAAUGGGCGCAAGCCUGAUGCAGCGACGCCGCGUGAGGGAUGACGGCCUUCGGGUUGUAAACCUCUUUCAGUAGGGAAGAAGCGUAAGUGACGGUACCUGCAGAAGAAGCGCCGGCUAACUACGUGCCAGCAGCCGCGGUAAUACGUAGGGCGCAAGCGUUAUCCGGAAUUAUUGGGCGUAAAGAGCUCGUAGGCGGUUUGUCGCGUCUGCCGUGAAAGUCCGGGGCUCAACUCCGGAUCUGCGGUGGGUACGGGCAGACUAGAGUGAUGUAGGGGAGACUGGAAUUCCUGGUGUAGCGGUGAAAUGCGCAGAUAUCAGGAGGAACACCGAUGGCGAAGGCAGGUCUCUGGGCAUUAACUGACGCUGAGGAGCGAAAGCAUGGGGAGCGAACAGGAUUAGAUACCCUGGUAGUCCAUGCCGUAAACGUUGGGCACUAGGUGUGGGGGACAUUCCACGUUUUCCGCGCCGUAGCUAACGCAUUAAGUGCCCCGCCUGGGGAGUAC
This 809-nucleotide ribosomal RNA is filed under the name Pseudarthrobacter sp. Its description in RNAcentral is "bacterial SSU rRNA". It matches the Rfam family "Bacterial small subunit ribosomal RNA", at positions 63 to 883 of the family's 1533-position model. The record is from RNAcentral. Lineage: Bacteria; Bacillati; Actinomycetota; Actinomycetes; Micrococcales; Micrococcaceae.